UGCGUAGGCGGCUUUAUAAGUCAGAUGUGAAAGUCAUAUGCUUAACAUAGGAAUUGCAUUUGAUACUGUAGAGCUUGAAUCGGGCUGAGGUAAGCGGAAUGUGGCAAGUAGCGGUGAAAUGCAUAGAUAUGCCAUAGAACACCAAUUGCGAAGGCAGCUUACUAGACCUAGAUUGACGCUGAGGCACGAAAGCGUGGGGAGCGAACAGGAUUAGAUACCCUGGUAGUCC
RNAcentral lists this ribosomal RNA (229 nucleotides) under uncultured bacterium. RNAcentral's name for it is "partial 16S ribosomal RNA". It matches the Rfam family "Bacterial small subunit ribosomal RNA", at positions 568 to 796 of the family's 1533-position model. The record is from RNAcentral.